RNAcentral lists this transfer RNA (71 nucleotides) under Syntrophales bacterium. Its description in RNAcentral is "tRNA-Gly". It matches the Rfam family "tRNA". From Rfam's summary of the family: Transfer RNA (tRNA) molecules are approximately 80 nucleotides in length. Their secondary structure includes four short double-helical elements and three loops (D, anti-codon, and T loops). Further hydrogen bonds mediate the characteristic L-shaped molecular structure. tRNAs have two regions of fundamental functional importance: the anti-codon, which is responsible for specific mRNA codon recognition, and the 3' end, to which the tRNAs corresponding amino acid is attached (by aminoacyl-tRNA synthetases). tRNAs cope with the degeneracy of the genetic code in two manners: having more than one tRNA (with a specific anti-codon) for a particular amino acid; and 'wobble' base-pairing, i.e. permitting non-standard base-pairing at the 3rd anti-codon position. Lineage: Bacteria; Pseudomonadati; Thermodesulfobacteriota; Syntrophia; Syntrophales. The record is from RNAcentral.
GCGGGCGUAACUCAGCGGUAGAGUGUCACCUUGCCAAGGUGGAGGUCGACGGUUCAAAUCCGUUCGCCCGC